This 484-nucleotide ribosomal RNA is filed under the name uncultured bacterium. RNAcentral describes it as "partial 16S ribosomal RNA". It matches the Rfam family "Bacterial small subunit ribosomal RNA", at positions 30 to 507 of the family's 1533-position model. The record is from RNAcentral.
AUUGAACGCUGGCGGCAGGCCUAACACAUGCAAGUCGAGCGGAUGAAGGGAGCUUGCUCCUGGAUUCAGCGGCGGACGGGUGAGUAAUGCCUAGGAAUCUGCCUGGUAGUGGGGGAUAACGUCCGGAAACGGGCGCUAAUACCGCAUACGUCCUGAGGGAGAAAGUGGGGGAUCUUCGGACCUCACGCUAUCAGAUGAGCCUAGGUCGGAUUAGCUAGUUGGUGGGGUAAAGGCCUACCAAGGCGACGAUCCGUAACUGGUCUGAGAGGAUGAUCAGUCACACUGGAACUGAGACACGGUCCAUACUCCUACGGGAGGCAGCAGUGUGGAAUAUUGGACAAUGGGCGAAAGCCUGAUCCAGCCAUGCCGCGUGUGUGAAGAAGGUCUUCGGAUUGUAAAGCACUUUAAGUUGGGAGGAAGGGCAGUAAGUUAAUACCUUGCUGUUUUGACGUUACCAACAGAAUAAGCACCGGCUAACUUCGUG